UACCACAGGGGGGCACUCACAUGAGCACGUACACCUCCCAGCAGGUGUGUGCAGCUGGGCACAGGGCUGGGCAGGGCUGGCGGGGAGCCGUGCUUUGAAAAGGGGAGAAAAACAAAGGAAGCAAACAAAAGCUGAGAAGAAAAGCUAUGGCAAAGCCAGGUGCCCUUGUGGAGAAGUCCUCUGACAGGAUGAAUCAUGAUCUGGGAGAAUUAAUAGCUGUAGACGGCGUCAGAUUGUGACCAUUAAGAAGAACAAAUAAAGUCUGAGAAAGAUUGGGGCUGCAUAUCGGAGUCCUUGGUCAUAAUACCUUGCAACUGAAAACUGAAAAUUAUUGCUGAAUGGUUCUUCUGUCUAGUCACUUGGAAGAUGAGGCUUUCUGAAGGUGGGAGAAACCUUGCUUAAUCAUGAACUCCAGUAUUCUGUUAGAAUAUAUUUUAAGUCGAAAAUCUUCAACUAGCUUUAGCUAAAUUCUAUUUCUGUGCUGGCAAAAGUCCUCAUAAGAAUGAAGAGAAUGUACAUUAAGCAAUAGGCCCAAGCGUUAGAUAAAAGUGUCUUGUAAUGGGUUAAAUUAAUUUUUAAUUUUGCUUGCCAAUUGGAAGGUAUAAUAAAACAUAUCCCCAAACCA
This 625-nucleotide long non-coding RNA is filed under the name Chrysolophus pictus (golden pheasant). Its description in RNAcentral is "lncRNA (ENSCPIG00010011784.1)". The record is from RNAcentral. Lineage: Eukaryota; Metazoa; Chordata; Aves; Galliformes; Phasianidae.